RNAcentral lists this ribosomal RNA (359 nucleotides) under uncultured Streptococcus sp. Its description in RNAcentral is "bacterial SSU rRNA". It matches the Rfam family "Bacterial small subunit ribosomal RNA", at positions 1021 to 1382 of the family's 1533-position model. Lineage: Bacteria; Bacillati; Bacillota; Bacilli; Lactobacillales; Streptococcaceae. The record is from RNAcentral.
CGGUACAUCGGUGACAGGUGGUGCAUGGUUGUCGUCAGCUCGUGUCGUGAGAUGUUGGGUUAAGUCCCGCAACGAGCGCAACCCCUAUUGUUAGUUGCCAUCAUUCAGUUGGGCACUCUAGCGAGACUGCCGGUAAUAAACCGGAGGAAGGUGGGAUGACGUCAAAUCAUCAUGCCCCUUAUGACCUGGGCUACACACGUGCUACAAUGGUUGGUACAACGAGUUGCGAGUCGGUGACGGCGAGCUAAUCUCUUAAAGCCAAUCUCAGUUCGGAUUGUAGGCUGCAACUCGCCUACAUGAAGUCGGAAUCGCUAGUAAUCGCGGAUCAGCAUGCCACGGUGAAUACGUUCCCGGGCCUU